RNAcentral lists this ribosomal RNA (824 nucleotides) under uncultured Acidobacteriota bacterium. RNAcentral describes it as "bacterial SSU rRNA". It matches the Rfam family "Bacterial small subunit ribosomal RNA", at positions 58 to 914 of the family's 1533-position model. The record is from RNAcentral. Lineage: Bacteria; Pseudomonadati; Acidobacteriota.
CAAGUCGAGCGAGAAAGGGUAGCAAUACCUGAGUAAAGCGGCGUACGGGUGAGUAACACGUGGGUCAUGUACCCUUUGGUGGGGAAUAACGUUGGGAAACCGACGCUAAUACCGCAUAAUCCCNANAGGGAAAAGCCGCAAGGCGCCGAAGGAACAGCCCGCGGCCGAUUAGCUAGUUGGUGGGGUAAUGGCUCACCAAGGCUUCGAUCGGUAGCCGGCCUGAGAGGGCACACGGCCACACUGGCACUGAAACACGGGCCAGACUCCUACGGGAGGCAGCAGUGGGGAAUCUUGCACAAUGGACGAAAGUCUGAUGCAGCGACGCCUCGUGAGUGAUGAAGGUCUUCGGAUCGUAAAGCUCUUUCGACUGGGAAGAUAAUGACGGUACCAGGAGAAGAAGCUGCGGCUAACUACGUGCCAGCAGCCGCGGUAAUACGUAGGCAGCAAGCGUUGUUCGGAAUUACUGGGCGUAAAGAGUGUGUAGGCGGUGCCGUAAGUUUGGCGUGAAAUCUCCCGGCUUAACUGGGAGGGUGCGCCGAAGACUGCGGUGCUUGAGGGUUGGAGAGGAAAGUGGAAUUUCUGGUGUAGCGGUGAAAUGCGUAGAUAUCAGAAGGAACACCUGUGGUGUAGACGGCUUUCUGGACAACUCCUGACGCUGAGACACGAAAGCGUGGGUAGCAAACAGGAUUAGAUACCCUGGUAGUCCACGCCCUAAACGAUGCAUACUUGGUGUGAGCCAUUCACUUGGUUCGUGCCGGAGCUAACGCGUUAAGUAUGCCGCCUGGGGAGUACGGUCGCAAGGCUGAAAACUCAAAGGAAUUGAC